This 384-nucleotide ribosomal RNA is filed under the name Triticum aestivum (bread wheat). Its description in RNAcentral is "partial small subunit ribosomal RNA". The record is from RNAcentral. Lineage: Eukaryota; Viridiplantae; Streptophyta; Magnoliopsida; Poales; Poaceae.
AUGAAGGCAAGAGAGGAAUUGACAACGAAGACAUUGGAGACGAAGCUUCUUAUCACCGAGAAGAAGAAAGAGGUCAAGCUUGCACAAGUUGAAGCAAAGCGUGAAGAAGCAAAGCGCAAGGCCGAGUUGGAGGAGAGGAUGAUCAAGCUCAAAGAGGCAAAGGUAUGGAAAGAACUCAUGGUGGAAGAGAAAGAGCACAUGAUGAUGUCCAAGAAGGACAUGGAUCAAGACCAAUUGCAAUGGUGGAAGGACUACAAGGAGGACAUCACGGAGAGGAAGAGGAUGUUCCGUGUUGCUUCCUCUACUUUUCGAGGUGACACUCCGAUGAGUAGUUGUGGUGAUGGCGGUGUGUACGACUCCACCGGUGCCGAUGGAGAUGCUUGA